GUGUCAGCAGCCGCGGUAAUACGUAGGGGGCAAGCGUUGUCCGGAUUUAUUGGGCGUAAAGAGCUCGUAGGCGGUUCCGUAAGUCGAGUGUGAAAAAUCUGGGCUCAACCCAGUGGAGCACUCGAUACUGCGGUGACUAGAGUACGGUAGAGGAGUGUGGAAUUCCUGGUGUAGCGGUGAAAUGCGCAGAUAUCAGGAGGAACACCAACGGCGAAGGCAGCACUCUGGGCCGGUACUGACGCUGAGGAGCGAAAGCGUGGGGAGCAAACAGGAUUAGAUACCCUCGUAGUCC
This 292-nucleotide ribosomal RNA is filed under the name uncultured bacterium. RNAcentral's name for it is "partial 16S ribosomal RNA". It matches the Rfam family "Bacterial small subunit ribosomal RNA", at positions 505 to 796 of the family's 1533-position model. The record is from RNAcentral.